GCGGACGGGUGAGUAAUGCCUAGGAAAUUGCCCUGAUGUGGGGGAUAACCAUUGGAAACGAUGGCUAAUACCGCAUAAUGCCUUCGGGCCAAAGAGGGGGACCUUCGGGCCUCUCGCGUCAGGAUAUGCCUAGGUGGGAUUAGCUAGUUGGUGAGGUAAUGGCUCACCAAGGCGACGAUCCCUAGCUGGUCUGAGAGGAUGAUCAGCCACACUGGAACUGAGACACGGUCCAGACUCCUACGGGAGGCAGCAGUGGGGAAUAUUGCACAAUGGGCGCAAGCCUGAUGCAGCCAUGCCGCGUGUAUGAAGAAGGCCUUCGGGUUGUAAAGUACUUUCAGUCGUGAGGAAGGUGGUGUUGUUAAUAGCAGCAUCAUUUGACGUUAGCGACAGAAGAAGCACCGGCUAACUCCGUGCCAGCAGCCGCGGUAAUACGGAGGGUGCGAGCGUUAAUCGGAAUUACUGGGCGUAAAGCGCAUGCAGGUGGUUCGUUAAGUCAGAUGUGAAAGCCCGGGGCUCAACCUCGGAACUGCAUUUGAAACUGGCGGACUAGAGUACUGUAGAGGGGGGUAGAAUUUCAGGUGUAGCGGUGAAAUGCGUAGAGAUCUGAAGGAAUACCAGUGGCGAAGGCGGCCCCCUGGACAGAUACUGACACUCAGAUGCGAAAGCGUGGGGAGCAAACAG
RNAcentral lists this ribosomal RNA (681 nucleotides) under bacterium. Its description in RNAcentral is "bacterial SSU rRNA". It matches the Rfam family "Bacterial small subunit ribosomal RNA", at positions 98 to 775 of the family's 1533-position model. The record is from RNAcentral.